AUUGAACGCUGGCGGCAUGCCUUACACAUGCAAGUCGAACGGCAGCACGGGGGCAACCCUGGUGGCGAGUGGCGGACGGGUGAGUAAAGCAUCGGAACGUAUCCUGGAGUGGGGGGAUAACGUAGCGAAAGUUACGCUAAUACCGCAUAUUCUGUGAGCAGGAAAGCAGGGGAUCGCAAGACCUUGCGCUCUGGGAGCGGCCGAUGUCGGAUUAGCUAGUUGGUGGGGUAAAGGCCUACCAAGGCGACGAUCCGUAGCGGGUCUGAGAGGAUGAUCCGCCACACUGGGACUGAGACACGGCCCAGACUCCUACGGGAGGCAGCAGUGGGGAAUUUUGGACAAUGGGCGCAAGCCUGAUCCAGCCAUGCCGCGUGAGUGAAGAAGGCCU
This 388-nucleotide ribosomal RNA is filed under the name uncultured bacterium. RNAcentral describes it as "bacterial SSU rRNA". It matches the Rfam family "Bacterial small subunit ribosomal RNA", at positions 29 to 417 of the family's 1533-position model. The record is from RNAcentral.